CUAACUCACCACCACCGCCUUCGUGUCCUCCAAACAGUCUCUGACCGCACAUCAAGUAGUACCUUCUUCCUCGGCCACCACCUAUUCCUCGUAUCUCCCUCCAGAUCAUGGUUUCUAUCAUUUCCGCCAUAGCCUUUGAAAUAGAUGGGUGACUGGAGAUUUCCAGUAGAAAACUGAGAUUUUGCUGUGGAUUUCAUGGCCAUGGAUUUUGAUUUAGGGUAGAUUUAUAUUUAUGUUUAGACAUAGAGUUUAUACAGGAGAAGUAUCAAGGAGAGGUGAAACAAAACAUCUUUAAGAUGAG
Brassica rapa (field mustard) is the source of this 301-nucleotide long non-coding RNA. RefSeq lists it as uncharacterized. NCBI's taxonomy places the organism in Eukaryota, Viridiplantae, Streptophyta, Magnoliopsida, Brassicales, Brassicaceae. The record is from RefSeq and is a predicted model, not a curated record.